RNAcentral lists this ribosomal RNA (501 nucleotides) under uncultured bacterium. Its description in RNAcentral is "partial 16S ribosomal RNA". It matches the Rfam family "Bacterial small subunit ribosomal RNA", at positions 30 to 523 of the family's 1533-position model. The record is from RNAcentral.
AUUGAACGCUGGCGGCAGGCUUAACACAUGCGAGUCGAGCGGGGGAAGGUAGCUUGCUACCGGACCUAGCGGCGGACGGGUGAGUAAUGCUUAGGAAUCUGCCUAUUAGUGGGGGACAACAUCUCGAAAGGGAUGCUAAUACCGCAUACGUCCUACGGGAGAAAGCAGGGGAUCUUCGGACCUUGCGCUAAUAGAUGAGCCUAAGUCGGAUUAGCUAGUUGGUGGGGUAAAGGCCUACCAAGGCGACGAUCUGUAGCGGGUCUGAGAGGAUGAUCCGCCACACUGGGACUGAGACACGGCCCAGACUCCUACGGGAGGCAGCAGUGGGGAGUAUUGGACAAUGGGGGGAACCCUGAUCCAGCCAUGCCGCGUGUGUGAAGAAGGCCUUAUGGUUGUAAAGCACUUUAAGCGAGGAGGGGGCUACUUUAGUUAAUACCUAGAGAUAGUGGACGUUACUCGCAGAAUAAGCACCGGCUAACUCUGUGCCAGCCGCCGCCGUAA